CCUACGGGAGGCAGCAGUGAGGAAUAUUGGACAAUGGGCGCAAGCCUGAUCCAGCCAUGCCGCGUGCAGGAAGACGCAUCUAUGGUGUGUAAACUGCUUUUGUACGGGAAGAAACACUCCCUCGUGAGGGAGCUUGACGGUACCGUAAGAAUAAGGAUCGGCUAACUCCGUGCCAGCAGCCGCGGUAAUACGGAGGAUCCAAGCGUUAUCCGGAAUCAUUGGGUUUAAAGGGUCCGUAGGCGGUUUAAUAAGUCAGUGGUGAAAGCCCAUCGCUCAACGAUGGAACGGCCAUUGAUACUGUUAGACUUGAAUUACUAGGAAGUAACUAGAAUAUGUAGUGUAGCGGUGAAAUGCUUAGAUAUUACAUGGAAUACCAAUUGCGAAGGCAGGUUACUACUAGUGGAUUGACGCUGAUGGACGAAAGCGUGGGGAGCGAACAGGAUUAGAUACCCUGGUAGUCCACGCCGUAAACGAUGGAUACUAGCUGUUGGGCGCAAGUUCAGUGGCUAAGCGAAAGUGAUAAGUAUCCCACCUGGGAGUACGUUCGCAAGAAUGAAACUCAAAUGAAAUUGACGG
Molecule: ribosomal RNA, 576 nt
Filed under: uncultured bacterium
Lineage: Bacteria
Description: bacterial SSU rRNA
Rfam family: Bacterial small subunit ribosomal RNA
Source: RNAcentral